UAUUAGUUACACGUGGGACAAAUCCCAUUAUGAGACAUAUCAUCACAACAAGAAUAUUUCAUUCUAGAUUUUAGAAUCCCAGGUUUUGGCUCACUUUGGUCAAGAAAAAUUAUAAAUAAUUGAGUUAGAGAUAAUUAAAUGUUAGCCUCCUGGAGUGCAUGGCAAUUGGUUUUGACCUCUAUAUUAAAAUUCACAAGACCACGGACAUAAGUCAAAACAGGUUCCCUUCGUCUCCCUAGUCACCAUCUCCAGGGCUAAAAAACAGACUUGAAAUGGGUGGCAGUUAGACUACAGGAAACAGGAUCUACAAGCACCAGGAGCUCAUCUAUGGCUAUCUGACAUCGCCUGGGGACACCUCACUCUCUGGCAGGCUCCUGCUGGCUGGAGAUUGUUAACAUCGCCAAUCAGAUGUUAAUUGAAUGCAAAGGAAUAGGAAAUAAAUUCUGGUUCUGAAGGGGCAGCUGGAAAGGUGUUGGGCUUCUCAGAUUCCGACCUACAUUUACAAAGCAGGCCUAAAGCCAAGCAUACUCCUUGCCAGAGGAAACGGAAAGCCCCUCUCCCGUUUUUAGAAUCAGGCUGGAAAACACGGCUCCCAGAAGGUGGGGUUAGAAGACAAGAGCUUGCGAGGCGGCGCCCUGUGGUCCCUCGAGGAAAUAGGAGAGAGACAAAGAGGGCCUGCUCCUGGGAAGCCCUAAAUUCGAAGCCAAUCCUUCCUCCUAGACAUGACCACAACUUUAAAGGGCAGGGCGCACACCUCCCCUCCCGGAUCUCUAGGGCAAAGGCAGGUCGAGGGGCAGCCAAAGAGGCGCAGAGAAGAGUGACAAGGUGCCCAGCAAGCGGCGGGAUCAAAGCCUGGGUCUCUAAUUCCCAGGCUGGAGAUUCUGGGCUGCCUGCUCCUCCUGCACGGGGCGAAAAGCCCACCUGGGAUCCGAGCGGGCGGCCGCGCCACUCUCGCAGGCUCC
RNAcentral lists this long non-coding RNA (962 nucleotides) under Pan troglodytes (chimpanzee). RNAcentral describes it as "long non-coding RNA NONPTRT006862". The record is from RNAcentral. Lineage: Eukaryota; Metazoa; Chordata; Mammalia; Primates; Hominidae.